RNAcentral lists this ribosomal RNA (253 nucleotides) under uncultured bacterium. RNAcentral describes it as "partial 16S ribosomal RNA". It matches the Rfam family "Bacterial small subunit ribosomal RNA", at positions 524 to 776 of the family's 1533-position model. The record is from RNAcentral.
UACGAAGGGGGCUAGCGUUGCUCGGAAUCACUGGGCGUAAAGCGCACGUAGGCGGAUCUUUAAGUCAGGGGUGAAAUCCUGGAGCUCAACUCCAGAACUGCCUUUGAUACUGAGGACCUUGAGUUCGGGAGAGGUGGGUGGAACUGCGAGUGUAGAGGUGAAAUUCGUAGAUAUUCGCAAGAACACCAGUGGCGAAGGCGGCUCACUGGCCCGAUACUGACGCUGAGGUGCGAAAGCGUGGGGAGCAAACAGG